RNAcentral lists this ribosomal RNA (301 nucleotides) under uncultured bacterium. RNAcentral describes it as "partial 16S ribosomal RNA". It matches the Rfam family "Bacterial small subunit ribosomal RNA", at positions 509 to 807 of the family's 1533-position model. The record is from RNAcentral.
CAGUCGCCGCGGGAAUACGUAGGUGGCAAGCGUUGUCCGGAAUUACUGGGCGUAAAGGGCUCGCAGGCGGUUUCUUAAGUCUGAUGUGAAAGCCCCCGGCUCAGCCGGGGAGGGUCAUUGGAAACUGGGAAACUUGAGUGCAGAAGAGGAGAGUGGAAUUCCACGUGUAGCGGUGAAAUGCGUAGAGAUGUGGAGGAACACCAGUGGCGAAGGCGACUCUCUGGUCUGUAACUGACGCUGAGGAGCGAAAGCGUGGGGAGCGAACAGGAUUAGAGACCCCCGUAGUCCCUGUCUCUUAUAC